GACGAACGCUGGCGGCGUGCUUAACACAUGCAAGUCGAGCGGUAAGGCCCUUUCGGGGGUACGACGAGCGGCGAACGGGUGAGUAACACGUGGGUGACCUGCCCUCAGCUCUGGGAUAAGCCUGGGAAACCGGGGUCUAAUACCGGAUAUGACUCCAUGACGCAUGUUGUGGGGUGGAAAGCCUUGUGCGGCUGAGGAUGGGCCCGCGGCCUAUCAGCUUGUUGGUGGGGUGAUGGCCUACCAAGGCGACGACGGGUAGCCGGCCUGAGAGGGCGACCGGCCACACUGGGACUGAGACACGGCCCAGACUCCUACGGGAGGGCAGCAGUGGGGAAUCUUGCGCAAUGGGCGAAAGCCUGACGCAGCGACGCCGCGUGAGGGAUGACGGCCUGGUGUAA
Molecule: ribosomal RNA, 398 nt
Filed under: uncultured bacterium
Lineage: Bacteria
Description: bacterial SSU rRNA
Rfam family: Bacterial small subunit ribosomal RNA
Source: RNAcentral